Molecule: ribosomal RNA, 197 nt
Filed under: uncultured bacterium
Lineage: Bacteria
Description: partial 16S ribosomal RNA
Rfam family: Bacterial small subunit ribosomal RNA
Source: RNAcentral
CUGCAACUCGCCUACAUGAAGUCGGAAUUGCUAGUAAUCGCCGGAUCAGCAUGCCGCGGUGAAUACGUUCCCGGGCCUUGUACGCACCGCCCGUCACACCAUGGGAGUCGGUAACACCCGAAGCCUGUAGUCUAACCGCAAGGGGGACGCAGUCGAAGGUGGGAUUGAUGACUGGGGUGAAGUCGUAACAAGGUACC